GCGCAUGAUGUGCUCAACUGGAAUUACCAUCUGAACGCGGGAUACCGCA
Molecule: non-coding RNA, 49 nt
Filed under: Trypanosoma brucei brucei TREU927
Lineage: Eukaryota; Euglenozoa; Kinetoplastea; Trypanosomatida; Trypanosomatidae
Source: RNAcentral